CAGGUGAGGGAGCCCGGAGCGGAUCCUGGCGCCAUGGAGCCGGGGGAAAACGCAGCUCUGGCGGAGCGGGACAGGAGGAUCAGCAAACUGACCUCGGACCUGGGUGAAUCCAGCGCCAAACUCAAGGAACGCGAGCGGAAAAUCA
Molecule: long non-coding RNA, 145 nt
Organism: Pyrgilauda ruficollis (rufous-necked snowfinch)
Lineage: Eukaryota; Metazoa; Chordata; Aves; Passeriformes; Passeridae
Exons: 6
Source: RefSeq, a predicted model, not a curated record